ACGAUAACGGCGUCGAGCGGCGGACGGGUGAGUAAUGCCUAGGAAAUUGCCCUGAUGUGGGGGAUAACCAUUGGAAACGAUGGCUAAUACCGCAUAAUGCCUACGGGCCAAAGAGGGGGACCUUCGGGCCUCUCGCGUCAGGAUAUGCCUAGGUGGGAUUAGCUAGUUGGUGAGGUAAGGGCUCACCAAGGCGACGAUCCCUAGCUGGUCUGAGAGGAUGAUCAGCCACACUGGAACUGAGACACGGUCCAGACUCCUACGGGAGGCAGCAGUGGGGAAUAUUGCACAAUGGGCGCAAGCCUGAUGCAGCCAUGCCGCGUGUGUGAAGAAGGCCUUCGGGUUGUAAAGCACUUUCAGUCGUGAGGAAGGUAGUGCAGUUAAUAGCUGCAUUAUUUGACGUUAGCGACAGAAGAAGCACCGGCUAACUCCGUGCCAGCAGCCGCGGUAAUACGGAGGGUGCGAGCGUUAAUCGGAAUUACUGGGCGUAAAGCGCAUGCAGGUGGUUUGUUAAGUCAGAUGUGAAAGCCCGGGGCUCAACCUCGGAAUUGCAUUUGAAACUGGCAGACUAGAGUACUGUAGAGGGGGGUAGAAUUU
This 594-nucleotide ribosomal RNA is filed under the name Vibrio campbellii. Its description in RNAcentral is "bacterial SSU rRNA". It matches the Rfam family "Bacterial small subunit ribosomal RNA", at positions 79 to 669 of the family's 1533-position model. Lineage: Bacteria; Pseudomonadati; Pseudomonadota; Gammaproteobacteria; Vibrionales; Vibrionaceae. The record is from RNAcentral.